This 545-nucleotide ribosomal RNA is filed under the name uncultured Glomeromycotina. RNAcentral's name for it is "SSU rRNA". It matches the Rfam family "Eukaryotic small subunit ribosomal RNA", at positions 548 to 1098 of the family's 1831-position model. The record is from RNAcentral. Lineage: Eukaryota; Fungi; Glomeromycota.
UUGGAGGGCAAGUCUGGUGCCAGCAGCCGCGGUAAUUCCAGCUCCAAUAGCGUAUAUUAAAGUUGUUGCAGUUAAAAAGCUCGUAGUUGAAUUUCGGGGUUCUACCGUUGGUCGGGCUUUGUCUGUACUGGUGUGUAGAAUUUCUACCUUCUGGGGAACCAUCAUGCUAUUAAUUUAGCGUGGUGGGAAACCAGGACCUUUACCUUGAAAAAAUUAGUGUGUUCAAAGCAGGCUUAUGUCUGAAUACAUUAGCGUGGAAUAAUAGAAUAGGACGGUGGUCCUGUUUUGUUGGUUUCUGAGUCACCGUAAUGAUUAAUAGGGAUAGUUGGGGGCAUUAGUGUUCAAUUGUCAGAGGUGAAAUUCUUGGAUUUAUUGAAGACUAACUUCUGCGAAAGCAUUUGCCAAGGAUGCUUUCAUUAAUCAAGAACGAAAGUUAGGGGAUCGAAGACGAUCAGAUACCGUCGUAGUCUUAACCAUAAACUAUGCCGACUAGGGAUCGGAUGAUGUUAAUGUUUUAAUGACUCAUUCGGCGCCUUACGGGAAAC